Molecule: ribosomal RNA, 475 nt
Filed under: uncultured bacterium
Lineage: Bacteria
Description: bacterial SSU rRNA
Rfam family: Bacterial small subunit ribosomal RNA
Source: RNAcentral
CUCAGAUUGAACGCUGGCGGCAGGCCUAACACAUGCAAGUCGAGCGGAAACGGCAAUAAAGAUUCUUCGGAUGAUUUAUUGGACGUCGAGCGGCGGACGGGUGAGUAAUGCUUAGGAAUUUGCCCAGUCGAGGGGGAUAACUAUUGGAAACGAUAGCUAAUACCGCAUACGCCCUAUGGGGGAAAAGAGGGGACCUUCGGGCCUUCUGCGAUUGGAUAAGCCUAAGUGAGAUUAGCUAGUUGGUGAGGUAAUGGCUCACCAAGGCGACGAUCUCUAGCUGGUCUGAGAGGAUGAUCAGCCACACUGGAACUGAGACACGGUCCAGACUCCUACGGGAGGCAGCAGUGGGGAAUAUUGCACAAUGGGCGCAAGCCUGAUGCAGCCAUGCCGCGUGUGUGAAGAAGGCCUUCGGGUUGUAAAGCACUUUCAGUCGUGAGGAAGGUAGUUGUGUUAAUAGCGCAUUAUUUGACGUUAG